ACAACAACGACCCCUCAUCUUUCAACUGCAGUGACAGUCAAGGAUGUGUACAUAAGAGCUUUUAUUGGAUUACGCUAUACAUGUAAUAUGGCAUUUGCAGCAGCCGAAGACAAAAGCACUGGAAUUACUUUAAGUGACAUUAGUCUCCACGAGCCACACAUAAAGAAGAAUGCAAGAGCUUCUGCGUCAUUUCCAGUUAUCAAGCCAAAUCUGAGUGCUCAGCCAUCACAGUAUGCUGUUAAAAUAAUCCACCAACUUGGGAAGG
Molecule: long non-coding RNA, 265 nt
Filed under: Sinocyclocheilus grahami
Lineage: Eukaryota; Metazoa; Chordata; Actinopteri; Cypriniformes; Cyprinidae
Description: lncRNA (ENSSGRG00000003111.1)
Source: RNAcentral